UACGGAAGGCAGCAGUGGGGAAUAUUGCACAAUGGGCGAAAGCCUGAUGCAGCUAUGCCGCGUGUAUGAAGAAGGCCUUAGGGUUGUAAAGUACUUUCAUCGGGGAGGAAAAACAAAACUAAUAAUUUUAUUUCUUGACGUUACCCGAAAAAGAAGCACCGGCUAACUCCGUGCCAGCAGCCGCGGUAAUACGGAGGGUGCUAGCGUUAAUCAGAAUUACUGGGCGUAAAGAGCACGUAGGUGGUUUUUUUAAAGUCAGAUGUGAAUCCCUGGGCUUAACCUGGAACUGCAUUUUGAAACUGAAAUACUAGAGUAUCGUAGAGGGAGGUAGAAUUCUAGGUGUAGCGGUGAAAUGCGUAGAUAUCUGGAGGAAUACCUGUGGCGAAAGCGGCCUCCUAAACGAAUACUGACGCUGAGGUGCGAAAGCGUGGGGAGCAAACAGGGAUUAGAUACC
This 454-nucleotide ribosomal RNA is filed under the name uncultured bacterium. Its description in RNAcentral is "bacterial SSU rRNA". It matches the Rfam family "Bacterial small subunit ribosomal RNA", at positions 340 to 786 of the family's 1533-position model. The record is from RNAcentral.